CAAUAGCGUAUAUUAAAGUUGUUGCAGUUAAAAAGCUCGUAGUUGGAUUUGUGGCGUACGGUGUGUUCCGGGCACUUGUUGUCUGAGUAACCUGCUGUUGCCAUCCUUGGGUGGAACCUGUGUGGCAUUAGGUUGUCGUGCAGGGGAUGCCCAUCAUUUACUGUGAAAAAAUUAGAGUGUUCAAAGCAGGCUUAUGCCGUUGAAUAUAUUAGCAUGGAAUAAUGAGGUAGGACUUUUUUGCUAUUUUGUUGGUUUGCGCAAGAAGGUAAUGAUUAAUAGGGACAGUUGGGGGUAUUCGUAUUCCAUUGUCAGAGGUGAAAUUCUUGGAUUUUUGGAAGACGAACUACUGCGAAAGCAUUUACCAAGGAUGUUUUCAUUAA
This 380-nucleotide ribosomal RNA is filed under the name uncultured eukaryote. RNAcentral's name for it is "partial 18S ribosomal RNA". It matches the Rfam family "Eukaryotic small subunit ribosomal RNA", at positions 592 to 976 of the family's 1831-position model. The record is from RNAcentral.